Naematelia encephala is the source of this 91-nucleotide non-coding RNA. The record is from the annotation of a GenBank genome assembly. NCBI's taxonomy places the organism in Eukaryota, Fungi, Basidiomycota, Tremellomycetes, Tremellales, Naemateliaceae.
ACACUGUUGGUGAAACGGUAUCAUGCGUCGUUGCCACUCUCGGUUCUUCCGGAAAUUCGACGCGGCAAGGGUUCGACUCCCUUACAGUGUA